GACCUGACUGCUAUCGGAUUGAUACUAAGCCAUGCUAGUCUUUGUAGUAAUACAAGGCAUACGGCUCAGUAACGCGUAGUCAACCUACCCUAUGGACGGGGAUAAUCUCGGGAAACUGAGCAUAAUACCCGGCAGACCACUUAUCCUGGAAUGGUUAGUGGUUAAAAUGAUUCGUCGCCAUAGGAUGGGACUGCGGCCUAUCAGCUUGUUGGUGAGGUAAUGGCCCACCAAGGCGAUUACAGGUACGGGCUCUGAGAGGAGAGGCCCGGAGAUGGGUACUGAGACAAGGACCCAGGCCCUAUGGGGCGCAGCAGGCGAGAAAACUUUGCAAUGUGCGAAAGCACGACAAGGUUAAUCCGAGUGAUUUCUGCUAAAGGAAUCUUUUGUUAGUUCUAAAAAUACUAGUGAAUAAGGGGUGGGCAAGUUCUGGUGUCAGCCGCCGCGGUAAAACCAGCACCUCAAGUGGUCAGGAGGAUUAUUGGGCCUAAAGCAUCCGUAGCCUGUUCUAUAAGUUUGCGGUUAAAUCUAUACGCUCAACGUAUAGGCUGCCGUAAAUACUGUAGAACUAGGGAGUGGGAGAGGUAGACGGUACUCGAUAGGAAGGGGUAAAAUCCUUUGAUCUAUUGAUGACCACCUGUGGCGAAGGCGGUCUACCAGAACACGUUCGACGGUGAGGGAUGAAAGCUGGGGGAGCAAACCGGAUUAGAUACCCGGGUAGUCCCAGCUGUAAACGAUGCAGACUCGAUGAUGCAAUGGCAUAGAGCUAUUGCAGUAUCGCAGGGAAGCCGUUAARUUUGCCGCCUGGGAAGUACGUACGCAAGUAUGAAACUUAAAGGAAUUGGCGGGGGAGCACCACAAG
This 859-nucleotide ribosomal RNA is filed under the name uncultured archaeon. RNAcentral's name for it is "bacterial SSU rRNA". It matches the Rfam family "Archaeal small subunit ribosomal RNA", at positions 20 to 885 of the family's 1478-position model. The record is from RNAcentral.